Molecule: signal recognition particle RNA, 254 nt
Filed under: bovine gut metagenome
Description: Bacterial large signal recognition particle RNA
Rfam family: Bacterial large signal recognition particle RNA
About the family: The signal recognition particle (SRP) is a universally conserved ribonucleoprotein involved in the co-translational targeting of proteins to membranes. Archaeal SRP consists of a 7S RNA and homologues of the eukaryotic SRP19 and SRP54 proteins.
Source: RNAcentral
AGCCGGGGACGUGGCGGAGCCCUGUACCUGCAAUCCGCCUGAGCAGGGGUGAUGCUCUGUCUGAGGGCCGGGCCGGUGGGGCUGCCCGCAGUAAGUGGUAUUGACGUUUGGGUCUUACGCAACGGGACCUUGUGAACCGUGUCAGGUCGGGAACGAAGCAGCACUAAGCAAGUCAUCCCGUGUGCCGUGAGGGAGCCUGGACCGAGCCGUCUGCUGCGGUAACGCCUGUUAGUCCGUUUCGAAGCAGAGCGCGC